AAUAAACGCUGGCGGCGUGCCUAACACAUGCAAGUCGGACGAGAAAGCUUGGGGAAACUUGGGCGAGUAAAGUGGCGCACGGGUGAGUAACGCGUAGGCAACCUACCCUUGUAUUCGGGAUAACAGGACGAAAGUUCUGCUAAUACCGGAUGAGAUCCCGAGGCGGGAGCUGAGGGAUGAAAGCGUGCCUCUCGGAGAAGCACGCGUACGGGGAUGGGCCUGCGUCCUAUCAGCUGGUUGGUGGGGUAACGGCCCACCAAGGCGACGACGGGUAGCUGGUCUGAGAGGAUGAUCAGCCACACUGGCACUGGAACACGGGCCAGACUCCUACGGGAGGCAGCAGUGAGGAAUUUUGCGCAAUGGCCGCAAGGCUGACGCAGCAACGCCGCGUGGGUGAUGAAGGCCUUCGGGUCGUAAAGCCCUGUCGGGUGGGAAGAAAGGGCCGACGAGGACAAGUCGUGGGUUUUGACGGUACCACCAGAGGAAGCACCGGCUAACUCCGUG
RNAcentral lists this ribosomal RNA (504 nucleotides) under uncultured bacterium. Its description in RNAcentral is "bacterial SSU rRNA". It matches the Rfam family "Bacterial small subunit ribosomal RNA", at positions 29 to 507 of the family's 1533-position model. The record is from RNAcentral.